Molecule: ribosomal RNA, 1508 nt
Filed under: uncultured bacterium
Lineage: Bacteria
Description: bacterial SSU rRNA
Rfam family: Bacterial small subunit ribosomal RNA
Source: RNAcentral
AUAACUUGAGAGUUUGAUCCUGGCUCAGAACGAACGCUGGCGGUAUGCUUAACACAUGCAAGUCGAACGAGAAAACCACUUCGGUGGCAAGUAAAGUGGCGCACGGGUGAGUAACGCGUAGAUAAUCUACCCUCUAGUCCGGGACAACUUCUCGAAAGGGGAGCUAAUACCAGAUAAUACAUUGAAUCGAGUGUUUUAAUGUUGAAAGGUUUACUGCUAGGGGAUGAGUCUGCGUACCAUUAGCUUGUUGGUAGGGUAAUGGCCUACCAAGGCAACGAUGGUUAGCGGGUCUGAGAGGAUGAUCCGCCACACUGGAACUGAGACACGGUCCAGACUCCUACGGGAGGCAGCAGUGGGGAAUUUUGCGCAAUGGGCGAAAGCCUGACGCAGCAAUACCGCGUGAGUGAAGAAGGCCUUUGGGUCGUAAAGCUCUUUUCUAGGGGAAGAUAGUGACGGUACCCUAGGAAUAAGCACCGGCUAACUCCGUGCCAGCAGCCGCGGUAAUACGGAGGGUGCAAGCGUUGUUCGGAUUUACUGGGCGUAAAGGGUGCGUAGGCGGCAUAGCAAGUUAAGGGUGAAAUCCCGGGGCUCAACUCCGGAACUGCUCUUAAAACUGCUGAGCUAGAGAUGGUCAGAGGCGGGUGGAAUUCCUAGUGUAGAGGUGAAAUUCGUAGAUAUUAGGAGGAACACCGGUGGCGAAGGCGGCCCGCUGGGACUUAUCUGACGCUAAGGCACGAAAGCAUGGGGAGCAAACGGGAUUAGAUACCCCGGUAGUCCAUGCCGUAAACGAUGAAUACCGGCUGUUUGAGAAAUCGACCUCUCAAGUGGCGCAGCUAACGCGUUGAGUAUUCCGCCUGGGGAGUACGGUCGCAAGACUAAAACUCAAAGGAAUUGACGGGGGCCCGCACAAGCGGUGGAGCAUGUGGUUUAAUUCGACGCAACGCGAAGAACCUUACCUGGGUUUGACAUCCUUGGCCCGCCUGAGAGAUCAGGUUUUCCCUUCGGGGACCAAGUGACAGGUGCUGCAUGGCUGUCGUCAGCUCGUGUCGUGAGAUGUUGGGUUAAGUCCCGCAACGAGCGCAACCCUUGUCCUUAGUUGCCAGCACGUAAUGGUGGGAACUCUAAGGAGACUGCCGGUGUUAAGCCGGAGGAGGGUGGGGAUGACGUCAAGUCCUCAUGGCCUUUAUAUCCAGGGCUACACACGUGCUACAAUGGCACCUACAAAGAGCAGCUAAGCCGCGAGGCCACGCGAAUCUCAAAAAAGGUGUCUCAGUUCGGAUUACAGUCUGCAACUCGACUGUAUGAAGUUGGAAUCGCUAGUAAUCGUAGAUCAGCGUGCUACGGUGAAUACGUUCCCGGGCCUUGUACACACCGCCCGUCACACCAUGGGAGUUGACAUUGGCAGAAUACAUUGAGCUAACCUUCGGGAAGCAGGUGUGCAAGCUAGUGUUGGUGACUGGGGUGAAGUCGUAACAAGGUAGCAGUAGGAACCUGCGGCUGGAUUACCU